AAGAACUUCUCUUGAAAUGUGAUAUCACCAUUGAAAGCUGGAAGCUAUUUCUCAAGAUGAAAAUCUCCUUCUAUAUUUCCUUCCUUUUACUUGCUAUUUCCAUUGGUUUUGGAAGCCGAAUUAUAACAGAGGCAAGAGAUUGUCUAAUUCCACAAUUUGCAACUAGCUGUGCAAAUAAUGGGAUGCAAUGUGAGGCAGAAUGCAAGAGCCUUUAUGGAACCCUUGCAAGAGCAUAUUGUGAAACACAAAAAUGCUAUUGUCGUAUAAAAUGUUAGUAAUAAUAUGUAACAGCUACAUUGUUCACCUUUUGAAUUGGUAAAAAUAAUGGUGAGUUAUAUAGCGGUAGCCGUGAUCAAUUAUAUUA
Long non-coding RNA from Arachis duranensis, 364 nucleotides. RefSeq lists it as uncharacterized. The record is from RefSeq and is a predicted model, not a curated record. Lineage: Eukaryota; Viridiplantae; Streptophyta; Magnoliopsida; Fabales; Fabaceae. The transcript has 2 exons.